RNAcentral lists this ribosomal RNA (321 nucleotides) under uncultured archaeon. RNAcentral's name for it is "bacterial SSU rRNA". It matches the Rfam family "Archaeal small subunit ribosomal RNA", at positions 1 to 326 of the family's 1478-position model. The record is from RNAcentral.
UUCCGGUUGAUCCUGCCAGAGGUUACUGCUAUCGAGGUCCGACUAAGCCAUGCGAGUCGAAUGUAGCAAUACAUGGCGUACUGCUCAGUAACACGUGGACAACCUACCCUUAGGCCUGGGAUAAACCUGGGAAACUGGGUAUAAUACCGGAUAGUUCUCGGAUGCUGGAAUGCAUCGAGGAUGAAAGCUCCGACGCCUAAGGAUGGGUCUGCGGCCUAUCAGGGUAGUAGUGGGUGUAACGUACCUACUAGCCUACGACGGGUACGGGUUGUGAGAGCAAGAGCCCGGAGAUGGAUUCUGAGACACGAAUCCAGGCCCUAC